AUUGAACGCUGGCGGCAGGCUUAACACAUGCAAGUCGAGCGGGGGGAGGUAGCUUGCUACCGGACCUAGCGGCGGACGGGUGAGUAAUGCUUAGGAAUCUGCCUAUUAGUGGGGGACAACAUCUCGAAAGGGAUGCUAAUACCGCAUACGUCCUACGGGAGAAAGCAGGGGAUCUUCGGACCUUGCGCUAAUAGAUGAGCCUAAAUCGGAUUAGCUAGUUGGUGGGGUAAAGGCCUACCAAGGCGACGAUCUGUAGCGGGUCUGAGAGGAUGAUCCGCCACACUGGGACAGAGACACGGCCCAGACUCCUACGGGAGGCAGCAGUGGGGAAUAGUGGACAAUGGGGGGAACCCUGAUCCAGCCAUGCCGCGUGUGGGAAGAAGGCCUUAUGGUUGUAAAGCACUUUAAGCGAGGAGGAGGCUACUUUAGUUAAUACCUAGAGAUAGUGGACGUUACUCGCAGAAUAAGCACCGGCUAACUCUGUGCCAGCCGCCGCGGUAA
RNAcentral lists this ribosomal RNA (501 nucleotides) under uncultured bacterium. RNAcentral describes it as "partial 16S ribosomal RNA". It matches the Rfam family "Bacterial small subunit ribosomal RNA", at positions 30 to 523 of the family's 1533-position model. The record is from RNAcentral.